AUUGAACGCUGGCGGCAGGCCUAACACAUGCAAGUCGAACGGUAGCACAGAGAGCUUGCUCUCGGGUGACGAGUGGCGGACGGGUGAGUAACGUCUGGGAAGCUGCCCGAUGGAGGGGGAUAACUACUGGAAACGGUAGCUAAUACCGCAUAACGUCGCAAGACCAAAGUGGGGGACCUUCGGGCCUCACACCAUCGGAUGUGCCCAGAUGGGAUUAGCUAGUAGGUGGGGUAAUGGCUCACCUAGGCGACGAUCCCUAGCUGGUCUGAGAGGAUGACCAGCCGAACUGGGACUGAGACACGGUCCAGACUCCUAAGGGAGGCAGCAGUGGGGAAUAUUGCACAAUGGGCGCAAGCCUGAUGCAGCCAUGCCGCGUGUAUGAAGAAGGCCUUCGGGUUGUAAAGUACUUUCAGCGGGGAGGAAGGCGGUGAAGAUAAUAGCUUCACCGAUUGACGUUACCCGCAGAAGAAGCACCGGCUAACUCCGUGCCAGCCGCCGCGGUAA
This 504-nucleotide ribosomal RNA is filed under the name uncultured bacterium. Its description in RNAcentral is "partial 16S ribosomal RNA". It matches the Rfam family "Bacterial small subunit ribosomal RNA", at positions 29 to 523 of the family's 1533-position model. The record is from RNAcentral.